Molecule: ribosomal RNA, 482 nt
Filed under: uncultured bacterium
Lineage: Bacteria
Description: partial 16S ribosomal RNA
Rfam family: Bacterial small subunit ribosomal RNA
Source: RNAcentral
AUUGAACGCUGGCGGCAUGCUUUACACAUGCAAGUCGAACGGUAACAGGCCGCAAGGUGCUGACGAGUGGCGCACGGGUGAGUAAUGCAUCGGAACGUGCCCAGUCGUGGGGGAUAACUACUCGAAAGAGUAGCUAAUACCGCAUACGAUCUAUGGAUGAAAGCGGGGGACCGUAAGGCCUCGCGCGAUUGGAGCGGCCGAUGUCAGAUUAGGUAGUUGGUGGGGUGAAGGCUCACCAAGCCAACGAUCUGUAGCUGGUCUGAGAGGACGACCAGCCACACUGGGACUGAGACACGGCCCAGACUCCUACGGGAGGCAGCAGUGGGGAAUUUUGGACAAUGGGCGCAAGCCUGAUCCAGCAAUGCCGCGUGCAGGAAGAAGGCCUUCGGGUUGUAAACUGCUUUUGUACGGAACGAAACGGCUCUGGUUAAUACCCGGGGCUAAUGACGGUACCGUAAGAAUAAGCACCGGCUAACUACGUG